UGAAGAAACAAGCUUUAAUAUCAAUGACUAUAAGAGGCCUUCCUUCAGGCAAUAGAGAAGCCCAUACAGGUUUGUCUGUCAACUAUUUUGAAGGUAGGACCAUUGAUGCCUUUGGAAGAUCAGCAGCUGUUGUGCCCUGUUCUUGACAACCUGAAUGAAUUCCCAGUUUUCUCACCCAUCUGCUGACGAUGAUGAUGAAGAUGUGAGGCUCACUGCUGCUGCACAGAACAGUUUGAAACCUGACUGGAUUUCAAGGCAGCUACCUGGUUUGGUAGCAGCCCGAGAAUGGCUCCAGGGAAAGUCCAUCAGAAGAGAGAAAGAGAAAAAGCUAGCUGGUCUGGAUGUGCAGAAGAAGCUUCUCUGACACAGUGGAGAGCAGCGCUGACCUAGACCUGCACCAGAAGGAUGUGGACCCAGCAGCACCAGCUCCCAGGACCUUCUGCCUUUCACUGCCAGAUUGUCAGUGCAGGGACAGCCAGCCUGUCGGACUGAGCAGCUUCCGGGUUCUCUGUCCCCAGUGUGCAUGUGGCCAUUGCUGGACCUAGUGCAUGUCACAGAAACUAACAUAUAAUAGCAAUAAUACCUUAAAAUAUUAUCUUUUCAUUUAUGUAGUAUCACUUUGUAUCAAAUAUAGUUAUAGUAAAAUAACAGAUACAUUUCUUAUUUUGUUCUAAAAAAGGCUGCAUAGUAUAGGAUUGGCUAUAAUAUAUAUCUAUUACAAAAUCAAUUACUAACAGUAUUUAACUCCCAGCCAACUAUCUUAGGGAGGGUGGGAGUCCUCCUAGUCUGUCUGACCUAGAUACUGGUCAGUUAUACACACAGGAGUGAAACUACACAUUCCUGCUAAGGAGAUCUGGUUACCCUGUUUCCUAUGCUAGGAAUGGGUACAUAACCACAUCUCUAGUUCAAGUAGUUCCAUGUUAGGGGCAAAUUCCACCAGGGAGCACCAAGAUUACAAGGUGAUAAGAAAGGGCCCAAGCAACUACACAGAGUGAAGACCAUGAAAUGCUGUGUCCGCAGCAUCAUGAUUCAUCUGGUGGAGGCUGAUGGAAAGGGAGAGUGGUGGCACCAGAUGAACUCUGGUGCAUCUUCUCUGGAGCAUCUUCAACCUGCAGCAAGGAAACACAUCUAUGGAAGGGUCUGAGGAAAGCUUGGGUCAGUUCUCCUGGGUGCCCUGUACCAGUCAUCACCACCCCACAGCCACCCUCACUGAGGGUCAUUCAGUUCCCUCCUCCAUCACCCCUGGGCUCUCCAUCCGGGAUCCCCUACUAUCUUCCUCUUUCUUUCCCAAGUCCCAGAGCCCCAGACCCUGCUGCAGACCUGGAGAUGAGAAUAAAGUGGUGGUGACUAGCUCUGUUUCCUGACUCAGGGCCUGAUGGGAGCAGUUGGAAGAGUAGGGGAGGACCUCUAUCCAACUUUCUUCUCCAAAAUUUCUCAGCCUCAGUGUAUCACACACAGGUGUGGAUGUGACUGUCCCUGCCCCACCUUGUCCAUCUGCACAGCUCAGAUGGGAGAGGUAGACCCCAUCAGCGUCUCAGUCCCUCCUCUCCAAUGGGGACAUUGCUCCAGGGGUACUAGAGGCUGCUGCUGCUUGAUUCAAUUCUAUUUUGUGUGUAUGAAUGUGAGCCUGCAUGUCUGUAUGUGCACUGUGUGAAUACCUGGGCUCUGUGAAGAAGAAAGGGAAGGUUCUCCUGGACCUAGAGUCGUAUAGUCAUGAACUACCUUGUAGGUUCUGGGAAUAUAAUUCUGGUCUGAUGCAUGAGCAGCAGGUGGUCUUGCCACUGGGUCAUCUUUUUAUAUCUCUUUAUUUUUGUCUGAAAGAUGGAAUGCUCUUCCCUUUACACCCUAAGUGAAACUAGCGUGUUCUUUUGUGUUCCUGCUGUGUGCACAUCUGCAUCACAGGACCCUCCUGAUUAGGAACCUGCUCUGAUCAAACACCUGCUGUGUUCCUUCCUCAUUCCCAACUGGUCUGUGGCAUGAUUCCAGUCCUGUGAAGAACAUGCACAUGUUAUUGCUAGUAGGUAACAUGAACUUCAGGUAUCCUGCCUCCUUCUCAACAAGAUGAUACAGUUGAGGGACAAGAUCAGGACUUCAGGGAUUUUGUCCUUGCUCCUCACCCACCUGUUUCUUACCGCACUCCCAACACUGCCCUCAGUAACU
Molecule: long non-coding RNA, 2160 nt
Organism: Alexandromys fortis (reed vole)
Lineage: Eukaryota; Metazoa; Chordata; Mammalia; Rodentia; Cricetidae
Exons: 4
Source: RefSeq, a predicted model, not a curated record